RNAcentral lists this long non-coding RNA (280 nucleotides) under Homo sapiens (human). Its description in RNAcentral is "HSALNT0382702". The record is from RNAcentral. Lineage: Eukaryota; Metazoa; Chordata; Mammalia; Primates; Hominidae.
GGCGGGCGCUGUAAGAGUGGAGAAGCUGCAGGUGCUGAGGCGCGGUGAAAGAAACCCUGGGAGCCAAGAGCACGAGGAGCUGGUGUCUGUGUCACAUUUGUACUUGCGGCAUAUAGUAAAAUGUUAUGAGGCCUAUGAAGAACCAGGAAAUAUUUGAAGAGAUAAUGGUCAAGACUUUUCCAAAAUUGAUGAAAGAAUCAGCCCACAGAUUCAAGAAGCUCAGCAAACUCCAAAAUAAACACAUAGGAAACCACCCUAGACAACUAUUGUCAAACUUCGG